UGAGGAAUAUUGGUCAAUGGGCGAGAGCCUGAACCAGCCAAAUCGCGUGAAGGAAGAAUGUAUUAUGUAUUGUAAACUUCUUUUGUCGGGGAAUAAAAAGGGGCUCGUGAGCCCUGUUGCAUGUACCCGACGAAUAAGCAUCGGCUAACUCCGUGCCAGCAGCCGCGGUAAUACGGAGGAUGCGAGCGUUAUCCGGAUUUAUUGGGUUUAAAGGGUGCGUAGGCGGCAUGUUAAGUCAGUGGUGAAAGUUCAAGGCUCAACCUUGGAAUUGCCAUUGAAACUGGCAAGCUUGAGUACAGUAGAGGUAGGCGGAAUUCGUGGUGUAGCGGUGAAAUGCUUAGAUAUCACGAAGAACUCCAAUUGCGAAGGCAGCUUACCGGAGUGUAACUGACGCUGAGGCACGAAAGUGUGGGGAUCAAACA
This 422-nucleotide ribosomal RNA is filed under the name uncultured Porphyromonadaceae bacterium. Its description in RNAcentral is "partial 16S ribosomal RNA". It matches the Rfam family "Bacterial small subunit ribosomal RNA", at positions 355 to 774 of the family's 1533-position model. Lineage: Bacteria; Pseudomonadati; Bacteroidota; Bacteroidia; Bacteroidales; Porphyromonadaceae. The record is from RNAcentral.